RNAcentral lists this ribosomal RNA (440 nucleotides) under uncultured bacterium. Its description in RNAcentral is "partial 16S ribosomal RNA". It matches the Rfam family "Bacterial small subunit ribosomal RNA", at positions 338 to 795 of the family's 1533-position model. The record is from RNAcentral.
CCUACGGGUGGCAGCAGUAGGGAAUAUUGCUCAAUGGGGGAAACCCUGAAGCAGCAACGCCGCGUGGAGGAUGAAGGUUUUCGGAUUGUAAACUCCUUUUGUUAGAGAAGAUAAUGACGGUAUCCUACGAAUGAGCACCGGCUAACUCCGUGCCAGCCGCCGCGGUAAUACGGAGGGUGCAAGCGUUACUCGGAAUCACUGGGCGUAAAGAGGGCGUAGGCGGGAUAGCAAGUCAGAGGUGAAAUCCUAUGGCUUAACCAUCGGACUGCAUUUGAAACUGUUAUUCUAGAGUAUGGGAGGGGUAGGUGGAAUUCUUGGUGUAGGGGUAAAAUCCGUAGAGAUCAAGAGGAAUACUCAUGGCGAAGGCGACCUGCUAGAACAUAACUGACGCUGAGGCGCGAAAGCGUGGGGAGCGAACAGGAUUAGAUACCCUAGUAGUC